RNAcentral lists this ribosomal RNA (534 nucleotides) under uncultured bacterium. RNAcentral's name for it is "bacterial SSU rRNA". It matches the Rfam family "Bacterial small subunit ribosomal RNA", at positions 767 to 1306 of the family's 1533-position model. The record is from RNAcentral.
AGCAAAUAGAUACCCGGGUAGUCCACGCCGUAAACGAUGAAUACUAGGUGUAGGGGUUGUCAUGACCUCUGUGCCGCCGCUAAACGCAUUAAGUAUUCCGCCUGGGGAGUACGGUCGCAAGAUUAAAACUCAAAGGAAUUGACGAGGGCCCGCACAAGCAGCGGAGCAUGUGGUUUAACUCGAAGCAACGCGAAGAACCUUACCUAGACUUGACAUCUCCUGAAUUACUCUGUAAUGGAGGAAGCCACUUCGGUGGCAGGAAGACAGGUGGUGCAUGGUUGUCGUCAGCUCGUGUCGUGAGAUGUUGGGUUAAGUCCCGCAACGAGCGCAACCCUUAUUGUUAGUUGCUACCAUUUAGUUGAGCACUCUAGCGAGACUGCCCGGGUUAACCGGGAGGAAGGUGGGGAUGACGUCAAAUCAUCAUGCCCCUUAUGUCUAGGGCUACACACGUGCUACAAUGGUCGGUACAAUGAGAUGCAACCUCGCGAGAGUGGGGCAAAACUAUAAAACCGAUCUCAGUUCGGAUUGUAGGCU